This 255-nucleotide ribosomal RNA is filed under the name Salmonella enterica subsp. enterica serovar Infantis. Its description in RNAcentral is "partial 16S ribosomal RNA". It matches the Rfam family "Bacterial small subunit ribosomal RNA", at positions 1000 to 1255 of the family's 1533-position model. Lineage: Bacteria; Pseudomonadati; Pseudomonadota; Gammaproteobacteria; Enterobacterales; Enterobacteriaceae. The record is from RNAcentral. RNAcentral also lists the same sequence under 1 other name.
CCAGAGAUGGAUUUGUGCCUUCGGGAACUGUGAGACAGGUGCUGCAUGGCUGUCGUCAGCUCGUGUUGUGAAAUGUUGGGUUAAGUCCCGCAACGAGCGCAACCCUUAUCCUUUGUUGCCAGCGGUUAGGCCGGGAACUCAAAGGAGACUGCCAGUGAUAAACUGGAGGAAGGUGGGGAUGACGUCAAGUCAUCAUGGCCCUUACGACCAGGGCUACACACGUGCUACAAUGGCGCAUACAAAGAGAAGCGACCU